RNAcentral lists this transfer RNA (75 nucleotides) under Glycomyces algeriensis. RNAcentral's name for it is "tRNA-Val". It matches the Rfam family "tRNA". Rfam says of the family: Transfer RNA (tRNA) molecules are approximately 80 nucleotides in length. Their secondary structure includes four short double-helical elements and three loops (D, anti-codon, and T loops). Lineage: Bacteria; Bacillati; Actinomycetota; Actinomycetes; Glycomycetales; Glycomycetaceae. The record is from RNAcentral. RNAcentral also lists the same sequence under 2 other names.
GGGUGCUUAGCUCAGCGGUAGAGCACCUCGCUUACAACGAGGUGGUCACAGGUUCGAUCCCUGUAGCACCCACCA